This 578-nucleotide ribosomal RNA is filed under the name uncultured bacterium. RNAcentral's name for it is "bacterial SSU rRNA". It matches the Rfam family "Bacterial small subunit ribosomal RNA", at positions 184 to 740 of the family's 1533-position model. The record is from RNAcentral.
CCCCUACGGGGGGAAAAGCCAGGGGGAUUCGUAAAGACCCUUGCGUUAAAUGGAGCGGCCGAUAUUCUGAUUAGCUUGUUGGUGAGGUAAAGGCUCACCAAGGGCGACGAUCAGUAGCUGGUUUGAGAGAACGACCAGCCACACUGGAACUGAGACACGGUCCAGACUCCUACGGGAGGCAGCAGUGGGGAAUUUUGGACAAUGGGGGCAACCCUGAUCCAGCCAUUCCGCGUGAGUGAAGAAGGCCUUCGGGUUGUAAAGCUCUUUCGCAAGGGAAGAAAACUUAUGAUCGAAUAAAUCAUGAGGUUGACGGUACCUUGAUAAGAAGCACCGGCUAACUACGUGCCAGCAGCCGCGGUAAUACGUAGGGUGCGAGCGUUAAUCGGAAUUACUGGGCGUAAAGCGUGCGCAGGCGGUUUUGUAAGUCGGAUGUGAAAUCCCCGGGCUCAACCUGGGAACUGCGUUCGAAACUGCAAGGCUAGAGUGUGUCAGAGGGGGGUAGAAUUCCACGUGUAGCAGUGAAAUGCGUAGAGAUGUGGAGGAAUACCAAUGGCGAAGGCAGCCCCCUGGGAUAACAC